This 494-nucleotide ribosomal RNA is filed under the name uncultured bacterium. RNAcentral's name for it is "partial 16S ribosomal RNA". It matches the Rfam family "Bacterial small subunit ribosomal RNA", at positions 28 to 507 of the family's 1533-position model. The record is from RNAcentral.
GACGAACGCUGGCGGCGUGCUUAACACAUGCAAGUCGAACGGAAAGGCCUGCUUUCCCUUGUGGAUUGCGGGUACUCGAGUGGCGAACGGGUGAGUAACACGUGAGUGAUCUGCCCCCAACUUGGGUAUAAGCCUGGGAAACUGGGUCUAAUUCCCGAUAGGACUGCAGGGUGGUGCCUGUGGUGGAAAACGAUUUUCUAGUGGUUGGGGAUGAGCUCGCGGCCUAUCAGCUUGUUGGUGGGGUAAUGGCCUACCAAGGCGGCGACGGGUAGCCGGCCUGAGAGGGUGGACGGCCACAGUGGGACUGGGAUACGGCCCAGACUCCUACGGGAGGAAGCAGUGGGGAAUAUUGGACAAUGGGCGGAAGCCUGAUGCAGCGACGCGGCGUGGGGGAUGACGGCCUUCGGGUUGUAAACUCCUUUCGACCGCGAGGAAGCCACCUGGUUGGAAGGGUGGUGACGGUAGUGGUAGAAGAAGCACCGGCUAACUACGUG